AGAGCGAACGCUGGCGGCAGGCCUAAUACAUGCAAGUCGAACGGACCCUUCGGGGUUAGUGGCGGACGGGUGAGUAACACGUGGGAACGUGCCCUUUGGUUCGGAACAACUCAGGGAAACUUGAGCUAAUACCGAAUGUGCCCUUCGGGGGAAAGAUUUAUCGCCAUUGGAGCGGCCCGCGUCUGAUUAGCUAGUUGGUGGGGUAAAGGCUCACCAAGGCGACGAUCAGUAGCUGGUCUGAGAGGAUGAUCAGCCACACUGGGACUGAGACACGGCCCAGACUCCUACGGGAGGCAGCAGUAGGGAAUCUUGCGCAAUGGGCGAAAGCCUGACGCAGCCAUGCCGCGUGAAUGAUGAAGGUCUUAGGAUUGUAAAAAUUCUUUCAGCGGGGACGAUAAUGACGGUACCCGCAGAAGAAGCCCCGGCUAACUUCGUGCCAGCAGCCGC
This 447-nucleotide ribosomal RNA is filed under the name uncultured bacterium. RNAcentral's name for it is "SSU rRNA". It matches the Rfam family "Bacterial small subunit ribosomal RNA", at positions 26 to 518 of the family's 1533-position model. The record is from RNAcentral.